UACGUAGGUGGCAAGCGUUGUCCGGAUUUACUGGGCGUAAAGAGCGCGCAGGCGGUCGAUUUAGUCGUGUGUGAAAGCCCCCGGCUCAACUGGGGAGGGUCACGCGAUACUGAUCGACUCGAAGGCAGGAGAGGGUAGUGGAAUUCCCGGUGUAGCGGUGAAAUGCGCAGAUAUCGGGAGGAACACCUAUGGCGAAGGCAGCUCGCUGGGACGUUACUGACGCUGAGACGCGAAAGCGUGGGGAGCAAACAGG
This 253-nucleotide ribosomal RNA is filed under the name uncultured bacterium. Its description in RNAcentral is "partial 16S ribosomal RNA". It matches the Rfam family "Bacterial small subunit ribosomal RNA", at positions 524 to 776 of the family's 1533-position model. The record is from RNAcentral.